RNAcentral lists this ribosomal RNA (253 nucleotides) under uncultured bacterium. RNAcentral describes it as "partial 16S ribosomal RNA". It matches the Rfam family "Bacterial small subunit ribosomal RNA", at positions 524 to 776 of the family's 1533-position model. The record is from RNAcentral.
UACAGAGGGUGCGAGCGUUAAUCGGAAUUACUGGGCGUAAAGCGCGCGCAGGCGGUCUUCCAAGUCAGUGGUGAAAGCCCGGAGCUCAACUCCGGAACUGCCAUUGAAACUGUGAGACUUGAGGAUGAGAGAGGUGAGUGGAAUUCCCAGUGUAGAGGUGAAAUUCGGAGAUAUUGGGAAGAACACCAGUGGCGAAGGCGGCUCACUGGCUCGUAUCUGACGCUCAGGCGCGACAGCGUGGGGAUCAAACAGG